This 353-nucleotide ribosomal RNA is filed under the name uncultured Pseudomonas sp. Its description in RNAcentral is "bacterial SSU rRNA". It matches the Rfam family "Bacterial small subunit ribosomal RNA", at positions 1030 to 1382 of the family's 1533-position model. The record is from RNAcentral. Lineage: Bacteria; Pseudomonadati; Pseudomonadota; Gammaproteobacteria; Pseudomonadales; Pseudomonadaceae.
AGAGACAGGUGCUGCAUGGCUGUCGUCAGCUCGUGCCGUGAGAUGUUGGGUUAAGUCCCGUAACGAGCGCAACCCUUGUCCUUAGUUACCAGCACGUUAUGGUGGGCACUCUAAGGAGACUGCCGGUGACAAACCGGAGGAAGGUGGGGAUGACGUCAAGUCAUCAUGGCCCUUACGGCCUGGGCUACACACGUGCUACAAUGGUCGGUACAAAGGGUUGCCAAGCCGCGAGGUGGAGCUAAUCCCAUAAAACCGAUCGUAGUCCGGAUCGCAGUCUGCAACUCGACUGCGUGAAGUCGGAAUCGCUAGUAAUCGUGAAUCAGAAUGUCACGGUGAAUACGUUCCCGGGCCUU